CGGGGCAGAGCCAUGCCUUGUAUAUGUCGGUUUGCUUCUGCCCACUUUCUUUGAGACUCUAGGUUAUCACGCAUCCUCUGGUGGGAUGUGUUUUCCAAAGAUGGCUGCAACAGUAUCUCCUUGUAUCAGUCCCUGCGGCUGCUGUAACAAAGUACCACAGACUGAGAAGCUUCAACAACAGACAUUUAUAGUCUCUCUCAGUUCUGGAGGCUGGAAGUCUGACAUGCAGGUGUCUGCAGGGCUGGUUUGUCCUGAGGCCUCUCUCCUUGGCGUGUAGACGGCUGUCUUCUCCCCGUGUCCUAGUCCCUUCUAAUAAGGACACUUCUUAGAAGUGUACAGAAAUCAUGUUGUCUUAGGGCCCACCUUCAUCUCAACGAGAUCAUCUACAAAGAUCAGGUCACAGCUGACGUCCUGGGGUAGGACUCCAUCGUAUUUUUCUGGGGACACCAACGACACUCCAUUUCCCAUGCUCCCAUUGAGCGGUGGGGUCCCUGUCCCCUCCCUGGGUAGAAGUGAUGUCACAUGACUUCGGGGUUAGGUCAUAAAGGUGAUGCUUGUCUCUGAUCUCGGAACCUGACCUCCAUGCUGUGAGGAAGCCCAGACGGCCCGCAGAGAGGCCACAUGGGGGCAAACUGAGCCAACAGCUGGCAGCAACUCAGGGCCCCCCCGUCCACGCCGAGCCGCCCCGGCUGGUGCCUCAUGGGACAGAGAUGACCCUUCCCUGCCAAUCUGCACCCACAUUCCCUGGGCCAGGGGGUGGAAUGUGCUGAUUGGCCAGGACCCGAUCCUGGAAGCAGGCUGAUAGACGGUCAUCGCUGUUACCUGUGUCUGGAAACGGGGCUUCCUGACUCCGCGUGUCAGAUGCAGGAGAGUGCCCGACCUCUCUGCCCAUCUCUUCUCCUUCCCCACGCUUUGGCCCCGUUGCGGUGGGACCAGGCCCUCCUGCGUGUCUGCCGGGGGCUCCGGCUUAUACUACUGAUGACAGUGUCCCCAGGAAAGCCCUUGGGCUCCCCCCUCCUCCUUUGCCCUUCGCGCCAGCCAAGGAACAGAAGAGGUCAGGAGAUGGGAGGAGGUGGUGAUUCUGCUUCACGGCCGCGGGGGCUCCGUGGCUGAGCUAUGCCCGGCAGCGUAUUCAUGAAGACCAGGCACAGCCUCCUAGUUGCUUAAUGAUGGGCUUCAUUAAAAGGGAAGAUCAGUAACCAGGGUAAUAAAAGCUCAAAGAUAAUGGAAACAGUUAAACCGCUUUGUCCUAUAGGUAACAUAAAAGGAUACAUCCGUCUAAUGAAUGCUUCCUUGAAGCCAAGCUUCCUGGCUCUUCCAUACGGACAAUGUGGGUUGAAUUAAAAAUGAUCAUAUGUGCAGUGCAGUGUCAAGACCACAGACAGAAGCUUCAGGAAGGGUAACAUGCCCACUCUCACAAUUUCCCUGAUUUGGGUGUGAAUCCCUUGUUCGGGGACCAACCCCUAAGGAGGGAACCACAGAGAGCCUGUCUGUGUCAUGUAUGUCUGUGUGGCCUGUGUCUGCCUUUUUAUCAUUCAUUCACUCAUUCAACAAACACUUGUAUUCAGAAGAUACAGUGAUGAGUAGGGAUGGAUAUUUUGGUUUUCAGGGGGCCUUCUAGUCUAGCAGGAGAGACAGACACUAAUCAAGUAACCACAUGAUUACAUUUCUAUAAACUUUGGUAAGUGCUCUGAAAGAAAGCAUAUGGGACUACAAAGAGAAAAGCAGGAGAUCCUGACAUUCUGGGAGGGAGGCUAAGAUUGGAAAGCUGAGCAGCAGCUAAGUUGAUGGAAGGGAAACAGAUGAGGCAGAGGGAACAGCACAUGCAAAGGCCCUGAGGCAGGAGAGGGCCUGGCACAUCCAAGGAAUCACACGAGGACCAGGUGGUUAGAACACAGUGAGAAGGGAGAAGAGACGAGAGGUGAGGUGGGGGCAGCAGGCCUGGACCCCCGGGGCCUUGGAGACAACAUCAAGGACUUGAGUAUUAUCCUUAAAGCAAUAGGGGCUACUGGGACUGUGGGAGCAGAAGCAAACACGCCAAGCCGAGGUCCCGGGAGGACAGAGGGGCGGGGGAGGCCAGAGCGUGGGAGAUGCACUCAGCUGCGCCUCAAGGUAAAUUCUCAGGAACACUGGGCUCGCAGAAGCGCCGCUGCUUCUCCAUCCACAGGGAUGUGAGACAUCCGGAAGAUGUGACAGCAGGAACCGCUGGACUUGAGCGAUUCUGCUGGUGGGGAGGGAAGUGGAGGUGUGAGCCUGGGAAGACUCCCCACCCAGUGGCCACACCUGAGUGAACUACCUGCCUGAAUACCCAGCGACCCACGGCUCCCGCGGCACCUGCUAAACAAACACAGGUGCUUUCUCGUGAAGCAGGUCGCUGGGUUACCUGAGAGGAGGGAGACAGAACCUGACAGGCUCUCAUGAACCCAACUCAUCACCCAGUGGGAAGCAGGGCCCCAGAGAGGGCACCCCAGGAAGAGAAGCUUUGGUCUGGAGAGAGGUUUUUGUCCACCAGCAGCUGGACAGAGCUCAGGCUGAGGGCACCCGUGUUCCAUGCCAAGCCCUCUGGAGCCCCGAGCUCUGGGCUGUCACACACCUGGGGGGUGACCGGUGCCGAGAUGACUGUUGUCUGGCUUACCUGUGUCCAGUGGGCCAU
Long non-coding RNA from Orcinus orca (killer whale), 2653 nucleotides. RefSeq lists it as uncharacterized. The transcript has 3 exons. The record is from RefSeq and is a predicted model, not a curated record. NCBI's taxonomy places the organism in Eukaryota, Metazoa, Chordata, Mammalia, Artiodactyla, Delphinidae.